This 88-nucleotide non-coding RNA is filed under the name Aeromonas molluscorum. RNAcentral's name for it is "c-di-GMP sequence". It matches the Rfam family "c-di-GMP-I riboswitch aptamer". Rfam says of the family: GEMM was predicted in a large-scale screen for bacterial structured RNA regulatory elements. Genes associated with GEMM are involved in a diverse array of functions, including chemotaxis regulation, signal transduction, secretion and chitin. The record is from RNAcentral. Lineage: Bacteria; Pseudomonadati; Pseudomonadota; Gammaproteobacteria; Aeromonadales; Aeromonadaceae.
UGUGCCAAAGGGCAAACCGGUCGAAAGGCCGGGACGCAAAACUUCCGGUCUAAGGGUCUGUUGUACCUAAGAUAGCGGGGUCACCACA